Molecule: long non-coding RNA, 12556 nt
Filed under: Cicer arietinum (chickpea)
Lineage: Eukaryota; Viridiplantae; Streptophyta; Magnoliopsida; Fabales; Fabaceae
Description: long non-coding RNA (CARI_LNC002769)
Source: RNAcentral
GCUCUCCCAAUAUUUUGGACAAGAUCCGCCACUGGUUGUAUGUAACUCCAAUACACAAAAUCACAUGUUUUCUCAAAAUCAACAUUUGCCUAAGGGGAACGGUUAAUGCUUACCAAAGGGGGGUUAAAAAUAGCUGAAUUGGAGGUAAAUGUGUCUACUGUUACUCUACAAAUCUAUCUUUUAUAUUGAUUAUGAAUAAAUGGUGAGAAUGACUCUUAAUCUCUUAAUUCCUAUUUUGAUUUUUAUGCCUACUUGGAAUUCCACCCCAUCCCCUUCAAAUCUGCAUAGUAACCAAAACAAAAAAUGAAAGAAAUAGAGACAAUGAGAAAGUGCAACAAAAAAAAAAAACAUAACCUGCUCAACUUGUGACUCAAUUUAUUUUAUGAGUUUUAAGAGUUCCAUGCCAGUUCUCAUUUAUCUCAGUAUUAUUUGAAUCAUUUUCUAUAUGUCUGUCCAUACUCCAUCAAAUACUCUUCUUAUGUUGGCAUUAAUAAGAGACAAUGCCUCUCACAAUCUUUAAUCUUUCUUCCAUUAUUCUUGGAUGCUGCACUUGAAACUAUAAUAGCGGUAUAAUGUAUUUUGCAUCCUUCUGACUCAUUUUGUAGUUACAUUAUAUUACUAUAUACAUUGUAGUCAGUCUUCAUGCACUUGACAACUAUGUAGAGAUCAGAUGUUAAUACAUAGUCUGGGAAUUAGUUUGAUACUUGCAUUUUUAUUUUGAGUGCUUGAUCUUAUUUAAGUUUAAUUUUAAGUACUUAAUCCCUAAGAUUUAGAGGGUUAAAAAAAAUCUUGAAUAUGUGUGAAGAAGUAUGUUGAAAUUGAGUUUAAUAUGAUAAAAUGAUUUUUCAUCAUCUCAAUUGAAGCAAAGAGCGUCCAAUAUAUAUGAGAUAAAUUUAUUAUUGUCUCCCUUAUCUUUUAUCUUUCACCUUGUCAAAGCAUAUGAAAAAGACUUUUUACCUUUUUUACCCUCUACUAUUUGAUAGUAAACAUUUCUGAAGUUAUUAACAUUUUGAUAAUUUUAAAUUUUCGAUUUUUUUAAAGAGUUCUAGAAAAAUUGCAUUUCGAAAACUGUGUUCAUCCAAAUUCUUGAUUGUUUUUUUCUUAAUUUUUAAAAAAAUUGCAUUUUAGAAGUUUCACAUUUGUUCAAAUUUUUCAAAUUUUUCAAAUUUUAUUAAACUUUUGAAAAAAAAUACAUUUCAGAAGUUUCACAUUCAUUCAAAAUUUUGAAUUUUUUUAAAACUUUUAAAAAAAUUGCAUUUAAAAAGUUUCAUAUGUAUCAAAAGUUUCGAUCUUUUUUUAAACUUUUGAAAAAAUUACAUUUCAAACGUUUCACAUUAUUUCAAAGUUUCAAACUUCUUUUAAACUUUUAGAAAUUUUUUACUAUCAAGUAGUUUAAGGUAAAAUUAUCUUGUCAUGUGUUUUAAAGGAGUGAGUAAAUGUGAGAUGGUGGAUGAUAACUUUCUCUAUAUAUGAGGAAUUAUUAAGUGAGAGGAGUUUUCACAUGAGAUAGUGAAAUAAUUAAAUUUUAAUCAUACAAUCAUACAUAGCUGACUGUGAUAGAAAGUAUCGUAUAGUCACUUAAAAAAGUCACAUGACUUUUUGUUUUAAUUUUAACUAUUCAUGACUUGAUCAAUGACUAAGAUUUAUCCUUUUUACAUUCUCAUUUUAAAACUCAUCCCAUUUGAUAUGUUUCCUAUAUAUAUAUACUUAUAUAUUUUUCUAGGCAACAAACUUUAAAUCGCCAAAAGAUGAUAGACGUUCCUCUGAGUCUAGUUAUUGGCCUGAGGAUCAUGGAACAAUAUCACUAAAAACAAUUUAUAUAUUUUUUUGAACUUCUAAGUUUGAUGUAGUUGUUUUGUAUGUUUAGCCACUUCAAAAUAUUUUGGUUUUAUAAUGUUCAAAUUACUUUAUUUAUUCGUUUAAUUAAGUUCUAGUAUAGAGGUCGUUAGUUUUGAAUAUAUUAUAUGAAUGAGAUUUAGCCAUUUACAAUUAAAUAUUUAUAUAUCUUAAUUAUAUGAAUGAUAUUUUUAAAUAUUAUUCAAAUUAAUUUAAAAUUAAUUGUUAUUUAAUAAGUUAUUAAAAUAAAUUUAAUGAAACUUGAAAAACCAAGUCAGCAAUUGGACAAGAGAUUUUAACGGCAAUAGUGCCUAAUUCUUAGCUUCUAACGGCUGCAUUACAUAUGGAUCAUUAAUCUUUAAGUUUACUUUUUAGAUAUUCAACAAAUACAGUAUUCACUUGUACCUACUUCUAUCUAAUUACUCUAAAAGUCAAUUUCCAAGUAAAACUUACAUCAGCUUCUCCUUCUCUUAAAAUAAGGUCAUGGCAAGAACUAAAGUCAAUUUGUGCAGCCUUAGCCCCUAUAAGCUGUGAAUGUUUUUAAUCAACUUUAUCAUUUUUGGUGGCUUAAGUCCUCACAAAUUUGUGGCGGACUGUGUCACAAAUUUGUGAGGGCUUAAGCUUUCACAAAUGAUAAUAAAAAAACCAACUUUUGUGGUCGUUUUUGCCGCCACAAAAAUUUGUGAAAUUUGUGAUGUGAUGGGGUUAUUUGUGAGUGUCUUAGGCCGCUUCAAAUGUGUCUGUUGUAGUUGUUUUUCUCCCUUUGUGAGGGCUAUUGGCUGCCACAAAAUCUGAGUUUUCUUGUAGUGAUAAACCUAUUGGAAUAAGUUGAUAUUGUUGGGUUUUUGGCUCCCUUCCUAUGUGGAGAAAGGCCCAAUAUGUGCAAGCCCAUGUGUCUCACUUAACCAAGUGAAGAGAGGUCAGAUUAGUGAGAGAGAGAGAGCUGAAAUCAGAGAGUGAGGCAAAGAGAAAAGCGAGAGAGGAAGAGCAAAAUCCAUUUUCGCAUAAAAUAGAGCAGCUGCACUAGAUUCACGAUUUCUCCUUCGUUCACCGUUGGAUCGGGCUGCAAUUUGGACAGCAGGUUCGUGACUCAUGGUACUUCCAUCUAACUGGUUGGAUCGUCGAUCGGAGGUCUGAGGUGGGAGAUAUUGAGCUCGUACAGUAGCAGUAUUUCCUGGUUUUUCUGCUGAACUUUGUUCUCAAUUUCAUGUUUGUUUUCUCAUUGUUUUGGCUGAUUGUUGUGCUGGUUACCUUGCUAUUUUUUGGCUGGUUACUGAGCACGAAUUUGUACCAUAUUUGAAACUCUCAUGUACCCAUAUUGUGUCCUUUGUGGUAGUGAUUUUAGUUGCUGUGAUUAUUUGUUGUUGCUCCUCACAGAUUCUUGCAAGUUUGGGAAAUUGAUUAUCCGCUGCAUAUUGCUCUGUUAGAGUUGUUAUUGUUAUUUGUUGUUGAAUUUCCCAUCAGAGUGGCAUCAGAGCUCUUUGGUUAAGGGGCUGUUUGACUUGUUUGAAUGAUGGAGGCAAAUAAAAAUAGAAUGAUUUGUUUGAAUGACACUAAUUAUCACUUAUGGAAGGGAAAAAUGAAGGAUCUGUUAUUUGUGAAGAAUUUGCAUCUUCCUGUGUUUGCUAGUGAGAAGCCAGAAUCCAAGACUGAUGAGGAUUGGAGUUUUGAACAUCAGCAGGUUUGUGGUUUUAUUCGGCAAUAUGUAGAAGACAAUGUUUAUAAUCACAUUGCUAAUGAGGAACAUGCAAGAUCCUUGUGGAAGAAGAUUGAAUCUUUGUAUGCUUCUAAAUCAGGGAAUAAUAAGUUGUAUUUGUUGAACUCCUUGAUGAAUUUGAGGUACAAGGAGGGGACUUCUAUUUCAGAUCACUUAAAUGAUUUUCAAGGGCUCCUAGAUCAAUUGUCAGGUAUGGGUAUCAAAUUUGAUGAUGAAGUGUUGGGACUAUGGCUACUGAAUACUCUACCAGAUUCUUGGGAAAUGUUUCGGGUUUCAAUUACAAACUCAGCUUCUGAUGGUGUUGUCUCUUUGCAAAGUGUAAAGGGAAGUGUUCUUAAUGAGGAGAUGAGAAGGAAGGCACAAGGUACUUCAUCUCAUUCUGAGGUACUUGUCACUGAGAACAGGGGCCAUAGCCAAAGAAAGGAACCGAAAGGGAACAGACAGAAUAACAGAAGUGCGAGUAGAGAGAACAACAGAAGUAAGUCCAAGUCCAGAUACAAGAAUGUGGAGUGCAAUUAUUGUCACAAAAUGGGGCACAUACAGAGGAACUGUUUCAUAUGGAAAAGGGAGAGCAAAAACAAUAACAGUAAGCAGAGAGAUAAGAAUCAUGAUGAUGAUGACCGUGUUACUACUGCUACUUGUGAUGAUCUGAUUAUUCUCCGUGACUAUGACUCAGUCAAUCUUGUAUCAGAUGAGAGCAUCUGGAUUAUUUAUAGUGGUGCUACAUUGCAUGUUACACCAAAGAAGGAGUUCUUCACAUCUUACACUUCUAGUGACUUUGGAGUGUUGAACAUGGGUAAUGAUGGUGAGUCUAAGGUAGUUGGUAUUGGUGAUGUUUGUUUGCAAACCAACAUGGGAGUACAGUUGUUGCUUAGAGGAGUCAAACAUGCUCCAGAUGUUCGCUUUAAUUUGAUCUCUGUGCAGAUGCUUGAUGAUGGUGGUUAUGAUAAUCACUUUGGUUCAGGAAAAUGGAAACUCACCAGAGGUAACUUAGUUGUGGCCAGAGGGGAGAAAAUUAAUAAACUGUAUUGGACUAAAGCAUUGGUUGCUAAAGACAGUGUGAAUGCCAUGGAUAUGGAGGCUUCUUUGUGGCACCGCAGGCUUAGUCAUAUCAGUGAAAAGGGGCUGAAUUUUUUAGCUAAAAAGGAUUUACUUCCGGGAUUAAAGAGUUCAGAGUUGGAGAAAUGUUCUCAUUGCAUGGCUCGUAAGCAGACUAGAGUAUCCUUCAAGAAACAUCCUCCCUCAAGGAAGUCAGAGUUGCUUGAAUUGGUGCAUUCUGAUGUUUGUGUCCCGUUGAAGGUAAAGUCAUUUAGUGAUGCACUUUACUUUGUUACUUUUAUUGAUGAUUGUUCCAGGAAGCUUUGGGUCUAUGCUUUGAAGACAAAAGACCAAGUUCUGGAGAAAUUCAAAGAGUUCCAUGUUAUGGUGGAGAGACAGUCAGGCAAGAAGUUCAAAUGCAUUCGUACUGACAAUUGUGGUGAGUAUUGUGGACCAUUUGAUGUUUAUUGCAAGCAGCACGGUAUCAAACAUGAAAAGACUCACAUGAAAAGACUCCUCCUAAAACUCCUCAGCUGAAUGGUUUAGCAGAGAGAAUGAACAAGACAUUGAUUGAAAGAGUUAGGUGUAUGCUUUCUGAAGCAAAGUUGCCUAAGCAUUUCUGGGGUGAAGCAUUGUACACGGCAGUGCAUGUUAUUAAUCUGAGUCAUGCAGUUGCUUUGAAUGUUGAGGUGCCAGACAAGAUUUGGUUUGGCAAGAAUGUCAGGUAUGAUCAUUUGCGUGUCUUCGGUUGCAAAGCAUAUGUGCAUGUUCCAAAGGAUGAGAGAUCCAAGUUGGAUGCGAAGACAAGACAAUGCAUCUUUAUCGGUUAUGGUCAGGAUGAAUUUGGCUACAAGUUGUAUGAUCCAGUUGAGAAGAAAGCUGUUAGAAGCCGUGAUGUGAAGUUCAUGGAAGACCAAACGAUUGAAGACAUUGAUAGGAUGGAGAAGACUACACCUGAGAUUGAUAAUGGUUUGUCUGAUGUUGAUCCAGUUCGGAUGCCUAUACAUGAUCUGGAUACUGCUGAAAAUAAUGUUCAGAAUGAUGAGCAACAUGGUGAUGUUGGUGAUCAGCAGCUUGGAGAUGAUUUUGAUGUUCCUAAUGAUGAUGCUGAAGAAGAACAUGAGAUGUCACAAGAUGAGGAUCUUGGUGAUGCUCCUGAACCACCUCAAGCUCAAGUUUGGAGGUCUACUAGGCAGAGGAAACCAUCCACCAGGUAUCCUUCUGAUGACUAUGUUACCUUGACUGAUGGAGGCGAACCUGAAUGUUAUGAUGAAGCCAUGGAGAGUGAUGAAAAGAAGAAGUGGUUGGAUGCUAUGCAAGAUGAAAUGAAGUCUUUGCAUGAUAAUCACACUUUUGAUUUGGUGAAACUACCUAAGGGAAAGAAGGCUUUGGAAAACAGGUGGAUCUUCAGAGUGAAGCAAGAAAGCAAUUCUACAUCUCCAAGAUAUAAAGCCAGAUUAGUUGUGAAAGGUUUCAGACAGAGAAAGGGUGUUGAUUUCAAUGAGAUUUUUUCUCCUGUGGUGAAGAUGUCAUCCAUUAGAACUGUGUUGAGUUUGGCUGCUACUCUUGAUUUGGAGGUAGAGCAAAUGGAUGUAAAAACUGCUUUCCUUCAUGGUGAUUUGGAGGAAGAGAUUUACAUGAAGCAACCUGAUGGUUUUCUUGUUAAAGGCAAAGAAGACUAUGUGUGUAGGCUCAGAAAGAGUCUAUAUGGUUUGAAGCAGGCCCCGCGUCAGUGGUACAAGAAGUUUGAGUCAGUUAUGUGUGAGCAAGGCUACAGGAAGACUACUUCUGAUCACUGUGUCUUUGUUAAAAAGUUUGCUGAUGAUGAUUUCAUUAUCUUGUUAUUGUAUGUUGAUGACAUGCUUAUUGUUGGGAAAAAUAUUUCCAUGAUUAUCAGGUUGAAGAAGCAAUUGGGCGAGUCAUUUUCCAUGAAAGACAUGGGAGCUGCUAAGAAGAUUCUUGGUAUAAGAAUCAUGUGUGACAGGAACAAGAAGAAACUUUGGCUGUCACAAGAACACUAUGUUGAAAGAGUAUUACAGAGGUUCCAGAUGGAAAAUGCUAAGGCUGUAAGUACUCCUCUUGCUACUCAUUUUAAAUUGAGUACUAGUCAGAGUCCUCCCAAUGAAGCUGAAAAAUCAGAUAUACAACGAGUUCUUUACGUAUCUGUUGUGGGUAGUUUAAUGUAUGCAAUGGUGUGUACAAGGCCUGAUAUUGCACAUGUUGUUGGUACAGUUAGUAGAUUUCUGUCUAAUCCAGGUAGAGAGCAUUGGAAUGCUGUGAAAUGGAUUUUGAGGUAUCUUCGUGGUACUACCAGUUUGAGGCUUUGUUUUGGAGGUGAUAAGCCUACUCUUGUGGGAUAUACUGAUUCUGAUAUGGCUGGAGACAUUGAUUCCAGAAAGUCUACUUCAGGCUACUUGAUUAAGUUUGCAGGGGGAGCUGUGGCAUGGCAAUCUAGAUUGUAGAGAUGUGUUGCAUUGUCCACUACUGAGGCAGAGUUCAUUGCCAUUACAGAAGCAUGCAAGGACUUGUUAUGGUUGAAGAAAUUCUUGCAGGAGCUUGGUUUUGUUCAAGAUAAGUACUUGCUAUUUUGUGAUAGUCAAGGUGCAAUUCAUCUUGGUAAGAAUUCAUGUUGGUACUUGCCAUUUUGUGAUAGUCAAGGUGCAAUUCAUCUUGGUAAGAAUUCAUGUUGGUACUUGCUAUUUUGUGAUAGUCAAGGUGCAAAACAAAGCCUCAAACUGGUAGUACCACGAAGAUACCUCAAAAUCCAUUUCACAGCAUUCCAGUGCUCUCUACCUGGAUUAGACAGAAAUCUACUAAUUGUACCAACAACAUGUGCAAUAUCAGGCCUUGUACACACCAUUGCAUACAUUAAACUACCCACAGCAGAUGCAUAAGGAACUCGUUGCAUAUCUGAUUUUUCAGCUUCAUUGGUAGGACUCUGACUAGUACUCAAUUUAAAAUGAGUAGCAAGAGGAGUACUUACAGCCUUAGCAUUUUCCAUCUGGAACCUCUGUAACACUCAAUCAACAUAGUGUUCUUGUGACAGCCAAAGUUUCUUCUUGUUCCUGUCACGCAUGAUUCUUAUACCAAGAAUCUUCUUAGCAGCUCCUAAUUGCUUCUUCAACCUGUCAAUCAAGGAAAUAUUUCUCCCAACAAUAAGCAUGUCAUCAACAUACAAUAACAGGAUAAUGAAAUCCUCAUCAGCAAACUUUUUAACAAAGACACAGUGAUCAAAAGUAGUCUUCUUGUAGCCUUGCUCACACAAAAUUGACUCAAACUUCUUGUACCACUGACGCGGGGCCUGCUUCAAACCAUAUAGACUCUUUCUGAGCCUACACACAUAGUCUUCCUUGCCUUUAACAAGAAAACCAUCAGGUUGCUUCAUGUAAAUCUCUUCCUCCAAAUCACCAUGAAGGAAAGCAGUUUUUACAUCCAUUUGCUCUACCUCCAAAUCAAGAGUAGCAGCCAAACUCAACACAGUUCUAAUGGAUGACAUCUUCACCACAGGAGAAAAAAUCUCAUUGAAAUCAACACCCUUUCUCUGUCUGAAACCUCUCACAACUAAUCUGGCUUUAUAUCUUGGAGAUGUAGAAUUGCUUUCUUGCUUCACUCUGAAGAUCCACCUGUUUUCCAAAGCCUUCUUUCCCUUAGGUAGUUUCACCAAAUCAAAAGUGUGAUUAUCAUGCAAAGACUUCAUUUCAUCUUGCAUAGCAUCCAACCACUUCUUCUUUUCAUCACUCUCCAUGGCUUCAUCAUAACAUUCAGGUUCGCCUCCAUCAGUCAAGGUAACAUAGUCAUAAGAAGGAUACCUGGUGGAUGAUUUCCUCUGCCUAGUAGAGCUCCAAACUUGAGCUUGAGGUGGUUCAGGAGCAUCACCAAGAUCCUCAUCUUGUGACAUCUCAUGUUCUUCUUCAGCAUCAUCAUUAGGAACAUCAAAAUCAUCUCCAAGCUCCUGAUCACCAACAUCACCAUGUUGCUCAUCAUUCUGAACAUUAUUUUCAGCAGUAUCCAGAUCAUGUAUAGGCAUCCGAACUGGAUCAACAUCAGACAAACCAUUAUCAAUCUCAGGUGUAGUCUUCUCCAUCUUAUCAAUGUCUUCAAUGGUUUGGUCUUCCAUGAACUUCACAUCACGGCUUCUAACAGCUUUCUUCUCAACUGGAUCAAACAGCUUGUAGCCAAAUUCAUCCUGACCAUAACCGAUAAAGAUGCACUGUCUUGUCUUCGCAUCCAACUUGGAUCUCUCAUCCUUUGGAACAUGCACAUAUGCUUUGCAACCGAAGACACGCAAAUGAUCAUACCUGACAUUCUUGCCAAACCAAAUCUUGUCUGGCACCUCAGCAUUCAAAGCAACUGCAGGACUCAGAUUAAUAACAUGCACUGCCGUGUACAAUGCUUCACCCCAGAAAUGCUUAGGCAACUUUGCUUCAGAAAGCAUACACCUAACUCUUUCAAUCAAUGUCUUGUUCAUUCUCUCUGCUAAACCAUUCAGCUGAGGAGUUUUAGGAGGAGUCUUUUCAUGUCUGAUACCGUGCUGCUUGCAAUAAGAAUCAAAUGGUCCACAAUAUUCACCACCAUUGUCAGUACGAAUGCAUUUGAACUUCUUUCCUGACUGUCUCUCCACCAUAACAUGGAACUCUUUGAAUUUCUCCAGAACUUGGUCUUUUGUCUUCAAAGCAUAGACCCAAAGCUUCCUGGAACAAUCAUCAAUAAAAGUAACAAAGUAAAGUGCACCACUAAAUGACUUUACCUUCAACGGGACACAAACAUCAGAAUGCACCAAUUCAAGCAACUCUGACUUCCUUGAGGGAGCAUGUUUCUUGAAGGAUACUCUAGUCUGCUUACCAGCCAUGCAAUGAGAAUAUUUCUCCAACUCUGAACUCUUUAAUCCCGGAAGUAAAUCCUUUUUAGCUAAAAAAUUCAGCCCCUUUUCACUGAUAUGACUAAGCCUGCGGUGCCACAAAGAAGACUCCAUAUCCAUGGCAUUCACACUGUCUUUAGCAACCAAUGCUUUAGUCCAAUAUAGUUUAUUAAUUUUCUCCCCUCUGGCCACAACUAAGUUACCUCUGGUGAGUUUCUAUUUUCCUGAACCAAAGUGAUUAUCAUAACCACCAUCAUCAAGCAUCUGCACAGAGAUCAAAUUAAAGCGAACAUUUGGAGCAUGUUUGACUCCUCUAAGCAACAACUGCACUCCCAUGUUGGUCUGCAAACAAACAUCACCAAUACCAACUACCUUGGACACACCAUCAUUACCCAUCUUCAACACUCCAAAGUCACCAGAAGUGUAAGAUGUGAAGAACUCCUUCCUUGGUGUAACAUGCAGUGUAGCACCACUAUCAAUAAUCCACAUGCUCUCAUCUGAUACAAGAUUGACUGAGUCAUAGUCACGGAGAAUAAUCAGAUCAUCACAAGUAGCAGUAGUAACACGGUCAUCAUCAUCAUGAUUCUUAUCUCUCUACUUACUGUUAUUGUUUUUGCUCUCCCUUUUCCAUAUGAAGCACGGUCAUCAUCAUCAGAUCAUCACAAGUAGCAGUAGUAACACGGUCAUCAUCAUCAUCAUGAUUCUUAUCUCCCUGUUUGUUCCCUUUCGGCUCCUUUCUUUGACUUCGGCCCCUGUUCUCAGUGACAAGUACCUCGGAAUGAGAUGAAGUACCUUGUGCCUUCCUUCUCAUCUCCUCAUUAAGAACACUUCCUUUUACACUUUGCAAAGAGACAACACCAUCAGAAGCUGAGUUUGUAAUUGAAACCCGAAAAGUUUCCCAAGAAUCUGGUAGAGUAUUCAGUAGCCAUAGUCCCAACACUUCAUCAUCAAAUUUGAUACCCAUACCUGACAAUUGAUCUAGGAGCCCUUGAAAAUCAUUUAAGUGAUCUGAAAUAGAAGUCCCCUCCUUGUACCUCAAAUUCAUCAAGGAGUUCAACAAACACAACUUAUUAUUAUCUGAUUCAGAAGCAUACUAAGAUUCAAUCUUCUUCCACAAGGAUCUUGCAUGUUCCUUAUUAGCAAUGUGAUUAUAAACAUUAUCUUCUACAUAUUGCCGAAUAAAACCACAAACCUGCUGAUGUUCAAAACUCCAAUCCUCAUAAGUCUUGGAUUCUGGCUUCUCACUAGCAAACACAGGAAGAUGCAAAUUCUUCACAAAUAACAGAUCCUUCAUUUUUCCCUUCCAUAAGUGAUAAUUAGUGCCAUUCAAACAAAUCAUUCUAUUUGUAUUUGCCUCCAUCAUUCAAACAAGUCAAACAUCCCCUUAACCAAAGAGCUCUGAUGCCACUCUGAUGGGAAAUUCAGCAACAAAUAACAAUAACAUCUAACAGAGCAAUAUGCAGCGGAUAAUCAAUUUCCCACACUUGCAAGAAUCUGUGAGGAGCAACAACAAAUAAUCACAGCAACUAAAAUCACUACCACAAAUGACACAAUAAUUUCAGUGUGAGAAGUAAACAACCACGGGACCAAGCCAGUAAUAGAGCUCCACUAUGAUCAAAAUAUGGGUACAAGAGAGUUUCAAAUAUGCACAAAUUCGUGCUCAGUAACCAGACAAAAAUCAGCAAGGUAACCAGCACAACAAUCGGCCAAAACAUUGAGAAAACAAGCAUGAAAUUGAGAACAAAGUUCAACAGAAAAACUAGGAAAAACAGCUACUGUCCGAGCUCAAUAUCUCCCACCUCAGACCUCUGAUCGACGAUCCAACCGGUCAGAUUGAAGUACCAUGAGGCACGAAGCUGCGGUCCAAAUUUCAGCCCGAUCCGACGGUGAAAGAAAGAGAAAUCGCGAAUCUAGUGCAGCUGCUCUGUUUUAUGCGAAAAUGGGUUUUGCUCUUCCUCUCUCACUUUUCUCUUUGCCUCACUCUCUAAAUUCAGCUCUCUCUCCCACUAAUCUGACCUCUCUCCACUUGGUUAAGUGAGACACAUGGGGUUGCACAUAUUGGGCCUUUCUCCACAUAGGAAGGGAGCCCAAAACCCAACAAUACACUGAUCCAUUAAGUUGGACAAACUUAUUUUAAGUUCAAGAAGUUUACUAUCGAAAAGUUGUUAGAAGCUUUUCCUCAAGAUUUUAAGGAUAAAGAUCUUCUCAAAUUUAAGGAUAAGCUCGAGUUCAAAAUACUUUUGAGCGUGUUGAUGCAGUUUUACUUAUUCAUAUAUUUGUAAAAAUCUCUCAAAGUAUUUCCAUUGUGAAAAUCUUUCAAAACAUAAACUUUUAUAAAAAUCUCUCAAAGUAUUUUAAGUUCAAAGUAUUUGUAAAAAUCUUUCAAAACAUAAACUUUUAUUGUUUCUAGCAACCUUUAAAUACAAUAAAUUAAUAAUUUGAAAUUAAUAAAAAUAAAACUAUCCAUAUAUAAAUUUAUAACAACCCAUUAUUAAUUAGUAAUUUGUAACAAUCCAAAACCUCACAUAAUUACUAUAAUUAAAAAUCAUAACGAUAUAAUGAUCAAUAAUAUUAAUAGAUUUACCUGGAUCUCUUGAGAUGGUAACAAGCUGGCUCACUUAGCAGCAACUUUAGCUGAAUCUGUGGACAGUCUCCCCUCCAGAUGUGAUUCAAUUAAUAGAGCUGCUAAGGACAACAGCACGAGCAAUAAAUAGAUCUCAGAUCAGAAGGAUCUGCACCUGCUGUUGGUUUAUUCUCCACCUUGUCUGGUGCAUCUCAAAUCCCUCACUGGUUCUGGUUUCGGUGCCACCGUUGCUGGCCUUACGUAAAUAUUUUGUUUUGCUUUCCAGAGGUUGUUAUCUCGUUUGGUGUUUUGAGUGGUUGGUAUUGCAAAACUUUUCAUGAGUUUAAAGAAUCUCUUUGUCUCUACUUUACUGUCACCGUUUGAGCUGUUGAUGGGAUUACUUUAUGCAUGUGGAGCUUAUCAAAUUCAAUGCUUCCAUGUGUUUACAUUGUCUUUAUGAGUUUUAGUAUAUUAUUAUUAUGUUCGUGGUCCAACAUGACUACACGGUUUUUUUUACCCUUUAUGGGUGUUAGAUGUAGCACUU